AGCUCGGAGAGGAAGAAGAGGUGUGAGGCUGCUUUUGUCGCGUUAAGAGAGAGAAAGUACUGUUUACGAUGAGAUUGUAGCCAUGUUGAGUGGAAAAAGGGGAAAAAAAUAGUGGAUUAGAGGGAGAGACGAAAUUGCCCAUCGUAAUAAGGCUGCGUUUGGUACAGCUUUUAACCUCCUGUGCUUAUAAGCAAUGUCCCAUUUGGUGUUUGGUAAAUCAACUUCACGCGGGCUUCUUUUGGAAGCCAGGGCUUAUAAGCUGGAAAAGCAGAAGCCAGGGGACCCUUGCUUUUAGAAGCCAGAAGCCGCGGCUACUGUAGCGAAGGUUUAAUGAAUUUUUCAAAAUACCAUUGGGUACCCUUAUGAACUUCAAGGAAUUACACACACGACCAGCCUCUUCUCUUCCUCAACUCUCCCUUUCUGUCUUCUCUCUCUCGGUGCUCAGGACGACGUUGUGCAUCCAUCGGCGCCUCCGCCUUUGCUCUCCCUUGUGGCCACCUCGAGUUCGCAUGGCUAUGAAUGAUUGGGAGCUCAUGAUUCCUUUAGCCUUCUUUUCUGGUGAUAUGGUCAUCUUGAUUCAAAUUUAGGAAUAAAAUUAGACCUUGGUGUUGCAACAGGGAAGAAUUAUCUUCAGUGGCAUGUUACUCGGGCUGAGUUGGUGGUGACGGAAGCCAAGUUGUGCAAGGAGAUACUCAGUAAUAAAGAUGGAUUAUAUCCGAAACCCAAGUUCAGAGCUUAUGCAAAGAAGAUAUUUGGGAAUGGACUUCCACAAUUAGAAUGAAAACUGGGUGAAAUCACGAAUGCUGACUAUUGAUAAAGCCAGUCUUUCUUUUCCCUGCAUUGUGGUUUAUGUGUUGAUCUGGCAUGGUGGUAUUGUUUUGUAUUACUAGAAUAUGGUGGCAAAGUUCUGCAACAUUGCAAAUUUAUGAUAGAACUUAAAUGGCUCAAGAUAAUGGUGGCAUGGUAUAUAUAUCCUAAUCCGUAUAAAGCCAAAAGAAUAUGUUAUGACCACUAAUUAUUUUUUUCAGGAGCUCAAUCCGGCCACGUACUAAUACAGCAUCGAACCUGCUAGGACAUCCACUAGAGCUGUAAGUUUAUUACUUAUUCUACAAACUACAUAUUUAAGGAAAUCAGUUCUCUCUCUCUCUCUCUCUCUCUCUCUCUCUCUCUGUACUACUUUUUAAAAUUUUUGUUUUCUUUCUCGUCAGUUUUAUUACAUUAAGGAUAGCUGUGGAUUUUUUGGUUUCCAAGCUGAACUGUCUUCUUAUUUUCAUAGUAUUAUUAUUGGUGUAUUUUGGCUGAUAGUUUGGAUAGCUGCAACUGCUGGACAGGACUUAAAUUGUGUGUUUCAGCUUUAUUUGGUUUCAGCAAUCAACUUGUUCUUUCUUUAAGACCAUUAGAUCAUAGUUAUGUACAGUUUCCUUCAUCAUUACUUUCUUGGACCGGGCCUUAUAACUUUCUUGCAAAGUUCAGUACUGUCUUGAAGUUUUAUGUUAUGGUCUCUUUACAUUUGGAGCUAAAAUAUUUGAUGCGCAUUAUACCAUAAAUGUUCUUAUUAUGAUAGUGCUUGUCUCAGUAAAAUGUUUGCUUAACUAAUGUGUGCUCCAGUGAUCUUUUAGGAAAGCUUCUAUUGGAACCGAAGAGUAACCUCUUAAAUGAAGAAGUAUAUGAAUUGUAAUUAAAAGUGAAAAGUUAUUCAAGGAACCGAAGAGUAACCUCUUAAAUGAAGAAGUAUAUGAAUUGUAAUUAAAAGUGAAAAGUUAUUCAAGUAAAUAUCUUGGUGAAUAUGGGUAGAGGUCAUGAAGGGCAGAGCCAUUCAUUGUUUGGUCUAUGAUCCUUAGAGGCAGAGAUCUCUUCUUCUGAGCUGACAAGUACAAUGGAAAAGCUUUCGAGGAACAUGGAGCAGAUUGGGGGUCAAGUUGCUACUGUCCGAGGCUAUACUGUAUAUAAUUAUAGUGAUGGAUGAUGAUAUGCCUAAGGAUAAGGACGAGGAAGAACACGAAGAUGAGGAAGUAGUUUAUAAGGCCACAAUUUUAAUAUUUAGACUUGGUAGUAUCUUUUAGUGAACAUGUUUAUGUUGCUGUCUAUUUAGUACAUUGAUGUUGGAUAUUAGUUAAUCAAUGCUACAUCUCUAUAUAUUUUUUCUUGGAAUAAAAGUGAACGCUUCAAUUUGACUGGCA
This is a long non-coding RNA of Rosa chinensis, 2180 nucleotides long. RefSeq lists it as uncharacterized. The transcript has 2 exons. Lineage: Eukaryota; Viridiplantae; Streptophyta; Magnoliopsida; Rosales; Rosaceae. The record is from RefSeq and is a predicted model, not a curated record.